Molecule: transfer RNA, 76 nt
Filed under: Bacteriovoracales bacterium
Lineage: Bacteria; Pseudomonadati; Bdellovibrionota; Bacteriovoracia; Bacteriovoracales
Description: tRNA-Arg
Rfam family: tRNA
About the family: Transfer RNA (tRNA) molecules are approximately 80 nucleotides in length. Their secondary structure includes four short double-helical elements and three loops (D, anti-codon, and T loops). Further hydrogen bonds mediate the characteristic L-shaped molecular structure. tRNAs have two regions of fundamental functional importance: the anti-codon, which is responsible for specific mRNA codon recognition, and the 3' end, to which the tRNAs corresponding amino acid is attached (by aminoacyl-tRNA synthetases). tRNAs cope with the degeneracy of the genetic code in two manners: having more than one tRNA (with a specific anti-codon) for a particular amino acid; and 'wobble' base-pairing, i.e. permitting non-standard base-pairing at the 3rd anti-codon position.
Source: RNAcentral
CGUCCCAUAGUUUAACUGGAUAAAACGGGGCUUUCCUAAAGCCCAGUUCUUGGUUCGAGCCCAGGUGGGACGGCCA